UGCGCAGGCGGUUUUGUAAGACAGAUGUGAAAUCCCCGGGCUUAACCUGGGAACUGCGUUUGUGACUGCAAGGCUAGAGUACGGCAGAGGGGGGUGGAAUUCCUGGUGUAGCAGUGAAAUGCGUAGAUAUCAGGAGGAACACCGAUGGCGAAGGCAGCCCCCUGGGCCUGUACUGACGCUCAUGCACGAAAGCGUGGGGAGCAAACA
RNAcentral lists this ribosomal RNA (207 nucleotides) under uncultured Thauera sp. RNAcentral describes it as "partial 16S ribosomal RNA". It matches the Rfam family "Bacterial small subunit ribosomal RNA", at positions 568 to 774 of the family's 1533-position model. Lineage: Bacteria; Pseudomonadati; Pseudomonadota; Betaproteobacteria; Rhodocyclales; Zoogloeaceae. The record is from RNAcentral.